Molecule: ribosomal RNA, 397 nt
Filed under: uncultured bacterium
Lineage: Bacteria
Description: partial 16S ribosomal RNA
Rfam family: Bacterial small subunit ribosomal RNA
Source: RNAcentral
AUACGUAGGGGGCGAGCGUUGUCCGGAAUGAUUGGGCGUAAAGGGCGCGUAGGCGGCGCGGUAAGUCUGGAGUGAAAGUCCUGCUUUCAAGGUGGGAAUUGCUUUGGAUACUGCCGCGCUUGAGUGCAGGAGAGGGUAUCGGAAUUCCCGGUGUAGCGGUGAAAUGCGUAGAGAUCGGGAGGAACACCAGUGGCGAAGGCGGGUAACUGGACUGCAACUGACGCUGAGGCGCGAAAGUGUGGGGAGCAAACAGGAUUAGAUACCCUGGUAGUCCACACUGUAAACGAUGAAUGCUAGGUGUAAGAGGUAUCGACCCCUUUUGUGCCGGAGUCAACACAAUAAGCAUUCCGCCUGGGGAGUACGGCCGCAAGGUUGAAACUCAAAUGAAUUGGCGGGG